Molecule: ribosomal RNA, 465 nt
Filed under: Vreelandella stevensii
Lineage: Bacteria; Pseudomonadati; Pseudomonadota; Gammaproteobacteria; Oceanospirillales; Halomonadaceae
Description: partial 16S ribosomal RNA
Rfam family: Bacterial small subunit ribosomal RNA
Source: RNAcentral
CCUACGGGGGGCAGCAGUGGGGAAUAUUGGACAAUGGGGGGAACCCUGAUCCAGCCAUGCCGCGUGUGUGAAGAAGGCCCUCGGGUUGUAAAGCACUUUCAGUGAGGAAGAACGCCUGGUGGUUAAUACCCAUCAGGAAAGACAUCACUCACAGAAGAAGCACCGGCUAACUCCGUGCCAGCAGCCGCGGUAAUACGGAGGGUGCGAGCGUUAAUCGGAAUUACUGGGCGUAAAGCGCGCGUAGAUGGCUUGAUAAGCCGGUUGUGAAAGCCCCGGGCUCAACCUGGGAACGGCAUCCGGAACUGUCAAGCUAGAGUGCAGGAGAGGAAGGUAGAAUUCCCGGUGUAGCGGUGAAAUGCGUAGAGAUCGGGAGGAAUACCAGUGGCGAAGGCGGCCUUCUGGACUGACACUGACACUGAGGUGCGAAAGCGUGGGUAGCAAACAGGAUUAGAUACCCGGGUAGUC